This 483-nucleotide ribosomal RNA is filed under the name uncultured bacterium. RNAcentral describes it as "partial 16S ribosomal RNA". It matches the Rfam family "Bacterial small subunit ribosomal RNA", at positions 30 to 506 of the family's 1533-position model. The record is from RNAcentral.
AUUGAACGCUCGCGGGAUGCUUUACACAUGCAAGUCGAACGGCAGCGCGGACUUCGGUCUGGCGACGAGUGGCGAACGGGUGAGUAAUGUAUCGGAACGUGCCCAGUAGCGGGGGAUAACUACGCGAAAGCGUAGCUAAUACCGCAUACGCCCUACGGGGGAAAGCAGGGGAUCGUAAGACCUUGCACUAUUGGAGCGGCCGAUAUCGGAUUAGCUAGUUGGUGAGGUAACGGCUCACCAAGGCGACGAUCCGUAGCUGGUUUGAGAGGACGACCAGCCACACUGGGACUGAGACACGGCCCAGACUCCUACGGGAGGCAGCAGUGGGGAAUUUUGGACAAUGGGGGCAACCCUGAUCCAGCCAUCCCGCGUGUGCGAUGAAGGCCUUCGGGUUGUAAAGCACUUUUGGCAGGAAAGAAACGUCGCGGGCUAAUACCCCGUGGAACUGACGGUACCUGCAGAAUAAGCACCGGCUAACUACGU